Molecule: ribosomal RNA, 444 nt
Filed under: uncultured bacterium
Lineage: Bacteria
Description: bacterial SSU rRNA
Rfam family: Bacterial small subunit ribosomal RNA
Source: RNAcentral
GUGAGGAAUAUUGGUCAAUGGUCGAGAGACUGAACCAGCCAAGUCGCGUGAGGGAAGAAUGGUCUAUGGCCUGUAAACCUCUUUUGUCAAGGAAGAAUAAGUGUCACGCGUGACAUGAUGCCAGUACUUGACGAAUAAGCAUCGGCUAACUCCGUGCCAGCAGCCGCGGUAACACGGGGGAUGCGAGCGUUAUCCGGAUUUAUUGGGUUUAAAGGGCGCGUAGGCGGGACGGCAAGUCAGCGGUAAAAGACUGCAGCUAAACUGUAGCACGCCGUUGAAACUGUUGACCUUGAGACGAGACGAGGGAGGCGGAACAAGUGAAGUAGCGGUGAAAUGCAUAGAUAUCACUUGGAACCCCGAUAGCGAAGGCAGCUUCCCAGGCUCGAUCUGACGCUGAUGCGCGAGAGCGUGGGUAGCGAACAGGAUUAGAAACCCCAGUAGUCC